RNAcentral lists this ribosomal RNA (405 nucleotides) under uncultured bacterium. RNAcentral's name for it is "bacterial SSU rRNA". It matches the Rfam family "Bacterial small subunit ribosomal RNA", at positions 29 to 480 of the family's 1533-position model. The record is from RNAcentral.
AGCGAACGCUGGCGGCAUGCCUAACACAUGCAAGUCGCGCGGUCAGCAAUGGCAGCGGCGGACGGGUGCGUAACGCGUAGGAACGUGUCUAGAGGUGGGGGACAACCCUGGGAAACUGGGGCUAAUACCGCAUAUGGGCUGAGGCCCAAAGCCGAGAGGCGCCUUUGGAGCGGCCUGCGUCCGAUUAGCUAGUUGGUGGGGUAAAGGCCUACCAAGGCUCCGAUCGGUAGCUGGUCUGAGAGGACGAUCAGCCACACUGGGACUGAGACACGGCCCAGACUCCUACGGGAGCAGCAGUGGGAAUCUGGACAAUGGGCGCAAGCCUGAUCCAGCCAUGCCGCGUGAAGUGAAGAAGGUCUUCGGAUUGUAAAGCUCUUUUGCCAGGGACGAUAAAUGACGGUACCU